GGGGCCGGAAGGGUAGCUGGUGCGCUCCUCGGUCUUCAAAACCGCGUGAGAGGCGCGUGUCGUCUCUGGUGGGUUCGAUUCCCACACGGUCCCGCCA
RNAcentral lists this transfer RNA (97 nucleotides) under Bacillus sp. V59.32a. Its description in RNAcentral is "tRNA-Sec". It matches the Rfam family "Selenocysteine transfer RNA". The record is from RNAcentral. Lineage: Bacteria; Bacillati; Bacillota; Bacilli; Caryophanales; Bacillaceae.